AUAAAAAGUCAUAUUCCGGGGGCACCUGGGUGGCUCAGUGGGUUAAAGCCUCUGCCUUCGGCUCAGGUCAUGAUCCCAGGGUCCUGGGAUCGAGCCCCACAUCGGGCUCUCUGCUCAGCAGGGAGCCUGCUUCCUCCUCUCUCUCUCUCUGCCUGCCUCUCUGCCUACUUGUGAUCUCUAUCUGUCAAAUAAAAUAAAUAAAAUCUUUAAAAAAAAAAAUAAA
Molecule: long non-coding RNA, 223 nt
Organism: Mustela lutreola (European mink)
Lineage: Eukaryota; Metazoa; Chordata; Mammalia; Carnivora; Mustelidae
Exons: 2
Source: RefSeq, a predicted model, not a curated record